CCCGACUGCUAUUUGGGUGAGAAUAAGCCAUGCGAGUUGAAUGGGAUACCUAAAGUUCCCAUAGCAAACUGCUCAGUAACACAUGAUCAACUUACCCUAUAGAGAAAAAUGACCUCGGGAAACUGAGGAUAAUGUUUCAUAAUUGAAUCGGCUUGGAAAAGUUUUUCAAUGAAAAGGAUAAAAAAAAUGGUUUUUAUCUGCUAUAGGAUAGGAUCGUGGACGAUUAUGGUUGUUGGUGAGGUAACGGCUCACCAAGCCGAUAAUCGAUAGGGGCCGUGAGAGCGGGAGCCCCGAGAUGGGUACUGAGACAACGACCCAGGCCUUACGAGGCGCAGCAAGCGCGGGACCUCCGCAAUACACGAAAGUGUGACGGGGUUACCCAAAGUGUUCAAUUCUGAACUGUGGUAGGUGAGUAAUGUCCCCUACUAGAAAGGAGAGGGCAAGGCUGGUGCCAGCCGCCGCGGUAAAACCAGCUCUUCAAGUGGUCGGGAUAAUUAUUGGGCUUAAAGUGUCCGUAGCCGGUUUAGUAAGUUCCUGGUAAAAUCGGGUAGCUUAACUAUCUGUAUGCUAGGAAUACUGCUAUACUAGAGGGCGGGAGAGGUCUGAGGUACUACAGGGGUAGGGGUGAAAUCUUAUAAUCCUUGUAGGACCACCAGUGGCGAAGGCGUCAGACUGGAACGCGCCUGACGGUGAGGGACGAAAGCCAGGGGAGCGAACCGGAUUAGAUACCCGGGUAGUCCUGGCCGUAAACGAUGCAUACUAGGUGAUGGUACGGCCAUGAGCCGUAACAGUGCCGUAGGGAAACCGUUAAGUGUGCCGCCUGGGAAGUACGGUCGCAAGGCUAAAACUUAAAGGAAUUGGCGGGGGAGCACCACAAGGGGUGAAGCCUGCGGUUC
RNAcentral lists this ribosomal RNA (896 nucleotides) under uncultured archaeon. RNAcentral describes it as "bacterial SSU rRNA". It matches the Rfam family "Archaeal small subunit ribosomal RNA", at positions 21 to 903 of the family's 1478-position model. The record is from RNAcentral.